UACGUAGGGUGCGAGCGUUAAUCGGAAUUACUGGGCGUAAAGCGUGCGCAGGCGGUUUUGUAAGUCAGAUGUGAAAUCCCCGGGCUCAACCUGGGAACUGCGUUUGAAACUGCAAGGCUAGAGUAUGGGAGAGGGAGGUAGAAUUCCACGUGUAGCAGUGAAAUGCGUAGAGAUGUGGAGGAAUACCAAUGGCGAAGGCAGCCUCCUGGGCCAAUACUGACGCUCAUGCACGAAAGCGUGGGGAGCAAACAGG
Molecule: ribosomal RNA, 253 nt
Filed under: uncultured bacterium
Lineage: Bacteria
Description: partial 16S ribosomal RNA
Rfam family: Bacterial small subunit ribosomal RNA
Source: RNAcentral